AUUGAACGCUGGCGGCAUGCCUUACACAUGCAAGUCGAACGGCAGCGCGGGCUUCGGCCUGGCGGCGAGUGGCGAACGGGUGAGUAAUGCCUCGGAACGUGCCCAGUAGUGGGGGAUAGCGCGGCGAAAGCCGGACUAAUACCGCAUACGACCUGAGGGUGAAAGUGGGGGACCGAAAGGCCUCGCGCUAUUGGAGCAGCCGAUGUCGGAUUAGCUAGUUGGUGGGGUAAAGGCUUACCAAGGCGACGAUCCGUAGCUGGUCUGAGAGGACGACCAGCCACACUGGGACUGAGACACGGCCCAGACUCCUACGGGAGGCAGCAGUGGGGAAUUUUGGACAAUGGGGGCAACCCUGAUCCAGCCAUGCCGCGUGCGGGAAGAAGGCCUUCGGGUUGUAAAGCGCUUUUGUUCGGGAAGAAGUCCUCUGAGCUAAUACCCCGGGGGGAUGACGGUACCGGAAGAAUAAGCACCGGCUAACUACGUG
This 484-nucleotide ribosomal RNA is filed under the name uncultured bacterium. RNAcentral describes it as "partial 16S ribosomal RNA". It matches the Rfam family "Bacterial small subunit ribosomal RNA", at positions 28 to 507 of the family's 1533-position model. The record is from RNAcentral.